UUACGGCCAUAUCACGUUGAAACACCGGUUCCAGUACGAUCACCGAAGUUAAACAACGUCGAACCUGGUCAGUACGUAGAUGGGUGACCGCCUGGGAAUGCCAGGUGCUGUAA
Acanthosepion pharaonis is the source of this 113-nucleotide non-coding RNA. Lineage: Eukaryota; Metazoa; Mollusca; Cephalopoda; Sepiida; Sepiidae. The record is from the annotation of a GenBank genome assembly.